Molecule: long non-coding RNA, 2980 nt
Organism: Mustela lutreola (European mink)
Lineage: Eukaryota; Metazoa; Chordata; Mammalia; Carnivora; Mustelidae
Exons: 3
Source: RefSeq, a predicted model, not a curated record
CCGCGGACGGCGCCUGCGCACACGCCGCGGCGCGGAAGACGCGAAAUAACCUGUGCCCGGAGAUCCCGCUUACACAGAGUGUGACAUCCGGCAGAACGGUGCAAGCCUGGAAUCUCCAUGAGGGCAAAGACCAUAGUGUCCACUGUUGCAUUUCCAUCUUCUAGAACAUUGCAUGGCCUGUGGCCGUUGCCCAAGAUACUUGUUGAAUGAAGGGAUGACCGAGGCGCCGUGUUUCAGGAGGCGGAGGCCGUCACCCUGCUGAGGGGAGUGUAAAAUCCUACCACCUCCUUGGAAAGCAAUGUGGUAGUAACUAUUGAAGUUGAUGAAAAAGUUGUGGACAUCGUGACGGGUUGUACAACAUUGUGAAUGCACUUAAUGCCACUGAACUGCAUAGUAAAUUUUAUAUUUUACCACCAAAAAACCCACAGUUUUGGAGCUGCCACAGCAAUGUAAGAGAUCAACUUUUUUUACUUCCAAAGUUUACUUCUUGAACACCAUUUGUAGGAGAUUUGUACAAAGUAGCCUGUGAAGGGAAUAUUUUAUUUGCAAGACUGACUCCUGGUUAGCAGCCGGCAGGCCCAGGAAUGCAGACUUACCACAUGGCCACAGCUACAGGCAAGAUGACCCGAUCCUGUGGGGACAUCUUUUUUUCUGGGUGCUUCUGUCCCAUUCACAGUGAGAGAGGGAGCGGGAGAAGCAGGCUCCCCUCCAAGAAAUGAGCCGGAUGCGGGGCUCAAUCCCAGACCCUGGGACCAUGACCCGAGCAGAAGACAGAUGCUUAACUGACUGAACCACCCAGGAACCCCUUCUCUGUGUUUGCUGUUAAGCUUCAAUUUGCAGGACAAUCAUGAUACUUUUUUUUUUUUUAAAUUUUCCUGGUUUUUUGACCAGUUGCUCUCAGAACUUAGGAAAAUGUAUACAUUUCCCAAGAAAUGCUGAGAAGGCAUUCCUACGCGUGCACACUAGAAAGAACCACAAGAGGCACCAGGAAGAGGCGCUGGAAGAAAAUGGAGCAUGAAAGCCAAGUUAUGAGAGCACUUCAGUAGGAGAACUAAGAUAAAUAAUAAAAAUUAUUGAUUUGCUAACUAGGCCCUGAGGUGUCUUAAAGGACAGUUUCGGUGCUGUAGUUCGUCGGAUAGCAGCCGGCUUUGGAGGCAGACCUGGCUGGGAAUCCUGGCUCUUAGGUUUACCAGGUACGUGAUUCUGGACAGGUUAUUUAGUAUUACCAGUGAGCCUCAGUUCCCUCCUCCAUUAAAGGGAAAUAAUACCUACUGUCAGGUGUGCAAUUUAAGAUUACCUGUUGUUUCAUGGAUGCUGGCAGAAGACAAGAGAUGCCAGUGUCAUGGACAAAAGGCCUUAUUCAUGGUACAAGCCAAGUGAGACUCAUGUAUGUAUUGGCUCUUUUGCCUCCCAAGCCCCACAGGCAACAAGGAGGGGCCCGAUGCAUGCCGGGCACACAGCGAGUGGCACUGUGGAGGAGGAGCAAUGAACUUGGGGAACCUGGUGCUUUAUGGUCAGGAGUAAGCAAGCUGCUCUUUGUCCCACAUAGAGACGCUCCUUCUCCCUCACGGUUGCUUAAUGCAAACCCAACCCGAAGAAACGGCUGGGGCAGAGCUAACGAGUUGUCAGGGCCUUGUCUCUCCCCCCAUACAGCCUAGGUUAUAGCUCACUAGAGGAAAAGCAUACAGAUGAAAAUCAGCCAAGGAGAAAGGUGCAUGGGGCAAAGUCUAGGAGAAACCAGACACGAACUUACAAACUUGCAGGUGUCCUUGUCCUAUAGAGUUGCCCUUUAUUCUCCCAACGACGCGUGACAAUAUGUGUGAACUGUUGCCCAGCAGAGAAACUCACCCAAGCCUUGGUGUCUAGGGUUUUUAUUGGGGAGUCAGUUACACAGACAUGGAGACUCACAUGACUGACCUCAGCUGCUCAGACUCUGUCUCCCAGAGCAAAGACAGGCAUUCAUCAUAAACCACACUGUUAGGAUGAACUCAUCUGGUCAGACUGGUGCUGCAUGACUCGAGGCCUCCAGGGUACAGGAACACCCUCAUCAGGCAAAAUAGUACAAGGGCUCAGAAUUUACCUCCCAGGAAGGCGCCAGGUGCUAGUCCUGAAGAUGAGCUUUCUUUGGAACGUGCAGGGUUUGAGCAGCCCGGGCCUGCUGAGCUAGUCCUUUUCUGCACACGCCUGAUCUUCAUGAGGCCACCGCCUGGUGAACUACAGUGAUGUUUUGGGUCUCCAAGAAUUAGGACGUGUCUAGAUCCAAUGUCCAGUAAGCCCUGAAAACUCUAGUUACUUCCCCUUUUCCCGUGCCCUGCCACCCUGGGAAAUGGCUGCAGGUGCAUUCAGAAAAGGCUAGAAGGAACGUAUACAGCAUGUCUUCGCCAAUAUAACGUAGUCCUUCAUCAAGGGACUCAACUUUUCCUCAUUCAGGAGCCUCUAGGUCUGGAAUCCGCUCGUCUGACCAUUUGUUGAAGGCAAGGCCUUGCAUUUUUGGCAAAAACAGCAAGAUAUGGGGCGGUGCGAGAGACACAUGGAAGCACAACUACUUUGUGUGGUUCACAUUACAUGGGAAUGUAUGUAAAGUGCUUUACACAGUACCGGGCCCAUGGUAAAUGCUCAGCACGGUGGCUAUAAUACUGUUGCAGCAGGCCAAAGAACACAGUGAAUGCAGCCUACUGUUUCAAGAAAGCUAGCCUCAGUCGGUAGACCAUGCAAUUCUUGAUGUUGGGGCCGUGAGUUCGAGCCCCAUGUGGAGUGUAGGGAUUACUUAAGAAUAAAAUCUUAGGGGCGCCUGGGUGGCUCAGAGGGUUAAGCCUUUCCCUUCAGCUGGGGUCAUGAUAUCAAGGUCCUGGGAUCAAGCCCCGCAUCAGGCUCUCUGCUUGGCGGGGAGCCUGCUUCCCUCUGUCUGUCUGUCUACUUUUGAUCUCUCUUUCUCUGUCAAAUAAAUAAAAUCUUUUAAAAAAUAAAAUCUUAAAAGACA